AUGGUGUGCUUGUCUGAUGGACAGGGCAGCUUAGGGGAAUAAGUCUCUGCAGCGUUGUAGUGAAGAGAGAAUACGGGACAACUGCAGGACCACAGCUCAGCCAAGAGCUCCCUUGCAGCUGAGUUGGCCAUAUGACUGACAGCAAGCCCUGGAAUGCAGCCAGAAGUGAUAGAAGCCUCUUUCACACCAUGCUCCUAAAAUAUUCCAAGAAAUUUUCCAAACCUACUCUUUUUAGUCUGUGCAUCUGGAAGUGAAAGUUUUAGAAAGGGUAAAGUCACUUAAUGGAAAGGGCCCAGAUCUAGCCCCUCGGAGCCAAGCUGUCCAACUAGAAAUUCUGCAUUAGUAUUUGCGACCCCAGUAAAAAAAAAAAAGUCCCACAAAGAUGUAGGAUCUCACUUUGCCUGCGUUAAUUCCCUGUCCUUUGCCCAGUUUCUCCUCUCUUGGAAGGCAGAGGCAGCUUCUGAUUUUGAUCACUUCAUGUCCAGCAGAUCUUUGGAGAGAAAAUGCCAAGAGUGGAUGGAGAGGCAAUGGUGAAGCUGAGGCUGAAGUCGGAGGAAGCUGUGAACCCUGCAUGGGGUACCUGAACACCAGGGCAAGUUUCUGGCCCAGAAUGGCUUCUGGGAAAGGGGAUAUGACAUCUUAGGAAGAAGGGACUGGGGGAAAGAAAGCACUUUCUGCUUCUGUGGAUAUAAACACACAGUGUUUUAUUCCCUAGUGCAACAAAACCUCAAGAUCAACAGACAAGAGCUGAAAACCCUUUCCCACCAGACACAGUGCCAUCUAAAUGUUCUCUCAAAAGAUAGCAUCUCAUAAACAAUUUCAACAAAAGGAUGUCAGCUUUUACUUUAUGUGCAUGCACAAAAUCACUUUUCAGGAAAAAAAAUGACCAUUACCGAAUCCAUCAUAAAAUUAAUUACAUUUAGUUGAUCACGUUGGCUGACUGGUUAUAACUCUUGCUGUAUUUUCCAGAAGUGUGUUUCAUUUUAUUUAUCAUUAAAGGAAAAAAUAUUGUAGUUUUCCAA
Molecule: long non-coding RNA, 1022 nt
Filed under: Homo sapiens (human)
Lineage: Eukaryota; Metazoa; Chordata; Mammalia; Primates; Hominidae
Description: long intergenic non-protein coding RNA 499
Source: RNAcentral